GCGAGAGUGGUGGAACUGGUAGACACGCUGGACUUAGGAUCCAGUGGCGAAAGCCUUGCGGGUUCAAGUCCCGCCUCUCGCACCA
RNAcentral lists this transfer RNA (85 nucleotides) under Synergistaceae bacterium. RNAcentral describes it as "tRNA-Leu". It matches the Rfam family "tRNA". Rfam says of the family: Transfer RNA (tRNA) molecules are approximately 80 nucleotides in length. Their secondary structure includes four short double-helical elements and three loops (D, anti-codon, and T loops). The record is from RNAcentral. Lineage: Bacteria; Thermotogati; Synergistota; Synergistia; Synergistales; Synergistaceae.